CCUACUCAUUAAGGCUGCACUUCUUUAUUUAUUCCCCCCCGUUAUACAAAAAUAAUCCAUAUAGCAUGAAUUAGUAUGCACGCGCGAUGGCUUAGCGUAUUUCUUGUAUAACUUUGGUGUUUCUUUACCGAUUUUUAUGAUUCUUUUUUUAUUGAAUAGGUAAUAAUGUUACCUUUUUUAUGGCUGUACACGCGACGGAAGCUUAAAAAAUUGAGUAACUUCUCCCGUUUUCUCAACAUUUCUCUUCACUGCUCUGCUCCUAUUGAUUGUAGCGUAAUGAAAAGUAUACUAUAACCUGCCCAGGAGUAUGAAGAAUAAUUGUACCAAGUUUCAUUAAAAUCCGUCCAGUAGUUUUUGUUUCUAUAAAGAACAUACAGACAGACAGACAGACAAAAAUUUUAUUGAUUGCAUUUUUGGCAUCAGUAUCGAUCACUAAUCACCCCCUGAUAGUUAUUUUGGAAAUAUAUUUCAUGUACAGAAUUGACCUCUCUACAGAUUUAUUAUAAGUAUAGAUUUAAUGAUUCAAAUGAUAAUUUCACUAUUUAAAAUUUACAUCUUUACAAUUAAAAUAUGUAUGAAAAUAACAAUAAUAUCAACUUAACACUUUCAUUACCGCUACGAUUUUCACGAUGUUUUCUCGGGAGCCGCCUACAUUUUACGUUGGACUCGCUAGGUGAGUCGCCGGCGCUGCGAUACGAAUCAUUCGACUCGCCACGCGAGUUCAGUGGCAUUGCGUUAGGGUAAAAACUAUGUUCUGUUAUUUUUGUGGCCGUGACAGUGUACGUUACGUGUUUAAAGCAAUUAACUAGUAUAUGGUGUAAUUUAACAAAAAGAAAAUGGCAAGAAACACUAUAAAUAAACGAAAAGGCCACCACAAAACACAAUAACAUAGAACACAAGAAUCUCAAAGUCCAGAAAACGUUUGCCAGGGGUUAAAACAGUAGGUACUCCAACAGGUCCAGUAAUCGAAAGCCAAGUCACAAUGAUAGAAAACAAAUAUACGCGUGCGAUAAGGAAAGGGUCGUGCUUAACACUAAUCUAUAUAUAAAGAAAGUCGGGUUUGUUACAACACUUCACUCGAGAUUGACCAAUGAGAGCUUGGCAAAAACAAUGUUAUCAGUGCUUUUAUUGCUUACUAACCAGAGCGUUCAUGUUAAAAAAUACCGGUUCCUUUUGUUUUGCCGGCAAUUUUUAACAAUGCGAAGGGAUCCUCCAGGGGGGGGACAGUUCCAUACAUUCUGAGCAAUUUGUUGACUUACAGGCCAUCUAGAUCUAGUAGUGAAACAACUUUUCGACUAAGUUGGUAAAAAUAUCUCAACAGAUGGCAGCAAUUCCAUCGCUAAUCUUAGUGUGCCCAGUAUCAAUAUUUGCAACCAUUUCGUAAUAUUUAAUAAUUUUAACGAUAAUGAAAAAAAUAGUAACUCUGUAAUAAUCUCAUAGACCACUACAUGAAAUAUAUAUUUAAAUAGUUUUGCAAAUCAAACUUCUUCAUUUAAUAAAAUAUGUGACGCAUAAGUUAACAUAGAGUGUUUGGUUAGUUUUUAAGUAACAAAUGGCAACUACGCAACAAUAUUAACUAAAUGGCUAAGAUGAUAUGAAGUAAUAAUCUUUAUAUUAUUUCCGGGAACAAAAUAUUUAUAGUAUGUUCAUGGGGAGGCAAAACAUGGAGCAGUGGCGUUUUUCUUCCAAGCCAUUUUCCAGUCCUUAAUGCGUUUGAUAGCAAAUAAUGUCUGCAAAUUAGUUACGACUUCAUAUACUUUUCUAUAUUUAUUCUGCAAUUAUUUUUUUAAAUAAAAAUAUUUUGACUCCUCAGUUUUGUCCGAUUGCCCGUGAAUAUUACUUAAACAGUUUUUACAGUAUGAUCAUGAAUUAAAUUGUGUUGGUUGCGAUUGUAAGUUAAUGGGUUUAACAAAAUAAGCGUAUAUUAAUUUCAACGUGGCCAUGAACUGUCAUCUGGUCCAGUGGUGAACAUGGUCGAACGGAUUCUAACAAAGUUACGUAUGAUUAGGAAUAGUCGUGGGUUCGAGCCUGGGUGGGGAAUGGAUUCAUCACAAUAUAUUUUUUUUUGUUUUUUUUAUUUGUUUUUCUCAAUUCGUUUUUUUUAAUAUUUUUUGAGUUUUAUUAAACCUCGAUUAAAAAUCUCCAUUUAAAUAAAAUUGCCGCUGUUUUAGUAGUACCUAUAAGUUUACUCCAAACCGCAGUUGGCGCUUCAAUUUAAGCCACCGAAAAUCUUCAAGAGGGCUCUCUUUUCCCAUAUACUUAUUAUACUCUUUGGGAUCCUCUUUCAGUUGUAACUCUUAAAGUAAUAGACCGAGAGUUGAGUUUGUGUUUUCUGCACCGUUCGUUUAACAAAAACGCAAGGACAGACUCAAAAACUUAGAAGUACCCAUUUGGUGAACACCAAAUUCGAGCCCCUACAAGGUGUCGAACACAAUCCGCCGUUGUUUUACGAGUGAAUGUGACUUUUGGUAAAAUGAAAAUAAAAGUAUCUACCUUU
Molecule: long non-coding RNA, 2497 nt
Organism: Bicyclus anynana (squinting bush brown)
Lineage: Eukaryota; Metazoa; Arthropoda; Insecta; Lepidoptera; Nymphalidae
Exons: 2
Source: RefSeq, a predicted model, not a curated record